UCUUCAUAUGUAAUAGUAGAGAGAAAAGCACGCGCGCGCACACAAAAAAAAAUUCCAUAGACAGACUUUAACUAGCCCCUGUGCGACCCAUCUCCCUCACCCCCAAAAAUUCGCUGAACCUUCUUCUACCCCGUCAAUUACCCCUGAGCAUCAACCGCACUCGGACCUUAUCCUUGUAAAUCCCCUAAAACCUGCUAGAAUUCAGGUCAAAAUCUCUUUACCUUCCUUGAGCCUUCAUUAUGGACUCAUGGUUGCUUACUUCGUUGCUCAAAAUCAAAUUCGAUGUCAGAACCAUCAAUCAAAUUUGGAUUAUGGGGGAUAUGUUUCAUCUCCUUUCACCUUUGUCAAAUCUGAAAGGGUUAAGUUUUGAAAUUUAAAAUUAAUUAUUUUUGGCUAUAAAUAACUGCAUCCAAGUUCAUUAAAGGGGGCAAAAGAAGCAAGUGAGGUGAUGAAGCAAAAAAAGGAGAAAGAAACGUGAAAACUGAGAAAGGGUUUUUUUCCUUCAAUCAAAAUCUCUUUUAAUCGUUGGUUGAAAUUUGAAGUUUUGGAGUUGAGUUCAUCGCCGAAAUUUUGACGUAAAAACUCCAAGUUUGCUGCCCAAAACAAGGGAGUUGGAGUUUCAUAUGGGAUCCAUUUUGACCCAAACAUAGGAUCAACCGCAACUAGGAUCGCAGAGCGUUAGAGUUCCGCAAACUAGGAGCCUAAACUCCUAACAAAAUCUAAUAGCCGUCAUCGUCCUUAGAUUUAAGUUAUAUUUUUAUCGUAUUGAGGUUUUUUUAUGACUAACUCUUGUCGUCUAUUUGUCUAAGGUAGCUUUAUUAGAUUAUUGAA
Molecule: long non-coding RNA, 831 nt
Organism: Capsicum annuum
Lineage: Eukaryota; Viridiplantae; Streptophyta; Magnoliopsida; Solanales; Solanaceae
Exons: 2
Source: RefSeq, a predicted model, not a curated record